Molecule: long non-coding RNA, 1697 nt
Organism: Diorhabda sublineata
Lineage: Eukaryota; Metazoa; Arthropoda; Insecta; Coleoptera; Chrysomelidae
Exons: 4
Source: RefSeq, a predicted model, not a curated record
AGAAAUGCCUUGUGUCAGUUUGUGGUUACAAACAAAAAUUAAAGUUGAAAAUAAAUAUUGAAAAAAAAACUACUAAUAUUAAUUUUACAUGGAAAAUCUAAGAAUAAUUUAUUUGUAUUUUGCCAUAAAAAUUCAUUGAGGAAACAUGAUGAAUUUGCUUUUUAAUGAAAAACUAUAUAUUGAAUAAAAAGAGAAUGAAGAUUAACUACAGCACCUUCUAUACAGGAUGAAGAAAACGUAAGAUAAAUAUGAAUAUUUAAACUAAAUCAAUGGUGAUAGCCAAAGAUCCAAUGAUGGAAACUAGUUGUUCAAAACUAUAUUAUACAAUGAACAAUGAAAUUCAAUCACUUUCGAGUCGCAAUAUCAAGUAAGAGACAUGGGAAUUUUUGGCAGUUUCUAUUAGAAAUAUACUGUGGAGGAGUAGAUUCCGUAUACAACAUUCGAGGAAGAUGACAGAUGUAACAGCAAGGAAAAAAAUCAGGUUUUUGGGUUUGAGCAAUGGUUUUCAGGAACAACUAAUUUGUACUUCAUUGUAUUUGUUAUCCUGUUUGAAACUGUUUCUUAUGAUAAUGGUUAUGAUGGGCGAGGGAAUACAAAAACACAAAAUUAUAUUCAACGAGAUUUAUUCAAAUCUUAAUAUUGAAUAAUAGAGUUAUCAACAUUACAUUUUCAAAAUAUUACACAAGGCUAUAAUUAAAAAUUUGUUUAAUUAUCCAAAAUUAAAAUAAUCACAUAUUUUCACUACUAUUUGGAUAAUGGUUAAUACAUAAUAUAGUAAAAUUAAUAAAAUAACUUCUAAUAUUGUUUACACUUAUUACUAUAUAUGCCCAACAGGCAUUGAAUUAAAAAAUCUCUUUAUUUCCAAUUUAAAUGAUACUAGAAGAAAGCAGAAAAUAAUUUAAGAAUUGAAUAUAAGAGAGGGACACAAAAAACAAAGAUAGUCAAAGGAAAAAUAGUCAUAUUUUAUAUUAAAGAAUUAUGGGGACAGUGGAUCAAAGUACAAUAUUUGUAGUCACUUAGACCAACUUAAAAAAAUAGCUCUUAAGAUUUGAUAAUUUAUGGAGAAAGUAUUGGCUUUAAAAGGAGCAUUUUUUUCUAAGGACAUUCUACCCCUAUGCAAUCACUCUACUCCUAUCUCUGUUUUGGUAUUGAAAUAGGGUUGAAAAUAUUUUUCCCUAAAAUACCCAAACCCCUUCCAUUUUACUAAAUGCUCUUUGAUCCUUCUUCUCCAGAUAACUCUUCAUAUAUAGCUACAAAUAAAAAAAAAGAAUAAGGUUGCAAGAAGAAUGAAAGAAUGGACAGAAUACGGAACCAUGAGAUAGGAGAAGAGUUAGCCAAAAGAUUUAUACUAAGUGAUAAUUUCUGAUAUUUCUAUGGAACAUACUGUUUAUGGUAUCACUACACUAACAUUCAUAAUUACAUGCCUGAAGCGCGUUUUGAUAACCCAGUUAUCAUCUCAAGAAUGUGGAUAGAAGUAAAUGUAGAAACGGAUUCAAAGUACAAUUUAAAAGUGAUGCGUAACAAUAUACUAAAAUUAAUACACCUCACAACUAAUUUAUAGUCUAUGUUUCCAUGCAUUCCAAACGAUUUACUUGAGUGGUUGAUUUUAUCCAUACACAAAUUCUUUCUUCUGUAUCUUGAUGACACCAUUUCCAUAUUGAGACGAUAACUUGUUUGUACCAUUAAUCAAUCUGAAU